UGGGGAAUAUUGCACAAUGGACGGAAGUCUGAUGCAGCGACGCCGCGUGAGGGAUGACGGCCUUCGGGUUGUAAACCUCUUUCGACGAGGACGAAGCGGUUUUGCCGUGACGGUACUUGUAGAAGAAGCGCCGGCCAACUACGUGCCAGCAGCCGCGGUAAGACGUAGGGCGCGAGCGUUGUCCGGAUUUAUUGGGCGUAAAGAGCUCGUAGGCGGUUCAUCGCGUCAAUCGUGAAAACCUGUGGCUUAACUACAGGCUUGCGGUUGAUACGGGUGGGCUGGAGUUCGGUAGGGGAGACUGGAAUUCCUGGUGUAGCGGUGAAAUGCGCAGAUAUCAGGAGGAACACCGGUGGCGAAGGCGGGUCUCUGGGCCGAUACUGACGCUGAGGAGCGAAAGCGUGGGGAGCGAACAGG
Molecule: ribosomal RNA, 414 nt
Filed under: uncultured bacterium
Lineage: Bacteria
Description: bacterial SSU rRNA
Rfam family: Bacterial small subunit ribosomal RNA
Source: RNAcentral